RNAcentral lists this ribosomal RNA (483 nucleotides) under uncultured bacterium. RNAcentral's name for it is "partial 16S ribosomal RNA". It matches the Rfam family "Bacterial small subunit ribosomal RNA", at positions 28 to 507 of the family's 1533-position model. The record is from RNAcentral.
GACGAACGCUGGCGGCGUGCUUAACACAUGCAAGUCGAACGCUGAAGCUCAGCUUUUGUUGGGUGGAUGAGUGGCGAACGGGUGAGUAACACGUGAGUAACCUGCCCCCUUCUUUGGGAUAACGCCCGGAAACGGGUGCUAAUACUGGAUAUUCACUGGUCUUCGCAUGGGGGUUGGUGGAAAGGGUUUUUCUGGUGGGGGAUGGGCUCGCGGCCUAUCAGCUUGUUGGUGGGGUGAUGGCCUACCAAGGCUUUGACGGGUAGCCGGCCGGGGAGGGUGACCGGUCACAUUGGGACUGAGAUACGGCCCAGACUCCUACGGGAGGCAGCAGUGGGGAAUAUUGCACAAUGGGCGCAAGCCUGAUGCAGCGACGCCGCGUGAGGGAUGGAGGCCUUCGGGUUGUGAACCUCUUUCGCUCAUGGUCAAGCCGCAACAAUGGUUGUGGUGAGGGUAGUGGGUAAAGAAGCGCCGGCUAACUACGUG